CGUUCAAACACCGGUUCCCGUUCGAUCACCGAAGUUAAGCCAGGUUGAUCCUGGUCAGUACCUAGAUGGAUGACCGCUUAGAAAUGUA
Non-coding RNA from Acanthosepion pharaonis, 88 nucleotides. The record is from the annotation of a GenBank genome assembly. NCBI's taxonomy places the organism in Eukaryota, Metazoa, Mollusca, Cephalopoda, Sepiida, Sepiidae.